AACCAGUGGAAAGUUACCUGGUUUUGUUUUCUCUGUUUGCAAAGCCCCAUUGAAGACUGUAUCUGAAUACAAACAUUAGGGAUUUCAGGCAUUCCAAGCUGAGCUUCAGCCUUGCAAGAUUCAAAUCUAUCUUAUCUUAAAAGAAUGCACCCUCUUCAUUUUUUAAAAAGGAUCAUUUUAAAGCUGCUGAGGGUUUUCCAAACAAAAGAAAAACUGUCUUGGCAAAACCGCAUCAAAUUUCAGAGACCAAAGAAGCUGAUGAAAGUGAUCCGGAUGCUCAAGGGUGAGGUCUGGGAGUGGGAGGGCUUUAUCCUGCUGUUUGAGAGAAUAUCUACGUUGGGGACUUGGAAAUCUGUUUCACUGUAAUGGUGGAAAACCAGCAGUAAUUCUGAAAAAAAUAUGGUUGCUGCAACCAGGAAAAGCAGAUUUCAAAGUACAAAGCAAGUCACCACAGGCAAUGCCAGUGAGGCAUUCCAGUGACACCAGAGCCCUUGAACAAAGCUGGAGCCCAGGUGACCUCCACAGGGCCCACUCCAGCAUUACUCCCUUUUUCAGGAUGAACAUUUGGGCUUUUACCCUGUGAAUGUGCCAGGCUCCACAAGGCCAAGGUCAGUCCCUCAGCCCUCCUGGAACACCCUGAUCUUUUCUAGGUACAAGUUUGCACGAUUCUAGGUACGAGUUUGCAGGAUGACCUCAGGUGGCUGGAGGGAAGAGAGCAGGAGCAGGACUAAAGAGAAAGGCAAUUCUUGGGGUCCAUUUCUUGAGACUGAUUCUUAGGAAAGAAAAAGAAAAAGCCACAGCAUAGUUUGCUUUCCUGUCCAUUUUCCCCUGAAAAGUAAUACUAUCCAUAACUAAGUGUAGGGCAAGAGGAGAAUUGACCUGCUAGUUAAGGCUGCCUCCUCUCCUCAGGGGAUCAUGAGCUUUGACCAGGAUAACCAGCUCGUUUUAGAGCACAUUAAGCACUAGACAGGGUAACAAACAGCUUCCUUUCAAAGCGUAAGAAAGCAAAAUGACAAAGUGGCCUGAGGUAGAAAAGCAAUGAUCAGAAACAUUAAAAAUAAUAGCAGCUGACAGAUGACAUUUAGGACCAGGGACCUCAUCCUCUGCUGGUUAUUAAUAUUCCUGCUCUCCUAUUAUCUUUUUGACGGGAAUGUAAACUCCGUUUGUCUUGGGAUAAACGCGAUACCAGAGCUGAGCAGAUAAGGAGGCGCUUAAUACGUAAUUGUUGGUGUAAACAAAUAAAUAGAUUGUAACGAUGUCAGAAAUGAUUAGUUCAGGUGGAGAGUGUGACUGGCUUCCAAAUAUUGGUCAAGAGCUCUAAGUAGGAUGAGCCAAGGAUACAGUUAAUGUAAUAGGUUCACACGAUCAGGUGACUUUUUUGGGUCUAGAAAUCUGAGGAGGUGACGAUGUACUGAACGGCAGUCUUCCUGCGAGGAAAGAGUUAAAAACACAUCCAGAUCAGGGUUUCUGAGGGACAAGGUGUUCAGCAGGGCUGAGGGCCUCCCUUUCUGCCGGCUGCUCCCCCAC
RNAcentral lists this long non-coding RNA (1527 nucleotides) under Sus scrofa (pig). RNAcentral describes it as "lncRNA (ENSSSCG00025014226.1)". The record is from RNAcentral. Lineage: Eukaryota; Metazoa; Chordata; Mammalia; Artiodactyla; Suidae.